Molecule: ribosomal RNA, 491 nt
Filed under: uncultured bacterium
Lineage: Bacteria
Description: partial 16S ribosomal RNA
Rfam family: Bacterial small subunit ribosomal RNA
Source: RNAcentral
GAUGAACGCUGGCUACAGGCUUAACACAUGCAAGUCGAGGGGAAACGACGGGGAAGCUUGCUUCCCCGGGCGUCGACCGGCGCACGGGUGAGUAACGCGUAUCCAACCUGCCUCUGACUGAGGGAUAACCCGUCGAAAGUCGGCCUAAUACCUCAUGGCAUCGUCUGCGGGCAUCCAACGACGAUUAAAGAUUUCAUCGGUCAGGGAUGGGGAUGCGUCUGAUUAGCUUGUUGGCGGGGUAACGGCCCACCAAGGCUACGAUCAGUAGGGGUUCUGAGAGGAAGGUCCCCCACAUUGGAACUGAGACACGGUCCAAACUGCUACGGGAGGCAGCAGUGAGGAAUAUUGGGCAAUGGGCGGGAGCCUGAACCAGCCAAGUAGCGUGCAGGAUGACGGCCCUAUGGGUUGUAAACUGCUUUUAUGCGGGGAUAAAGUGAGGGACGUGUCCUUCAUUGCAGGUACCGCAUGAAUAAGGACCGGCUAAUUCCGUG